GAGUUUGAUCGUGGCUCAGAAUGAACGUUGGCGGCGUGGAUUAGGCAUGCAAGUCGAGCGAGAAGGUCCUUCGGGACUGGAUAGCGGCAAACGGGGUGGUAAGGCGUAGGUGACGUACCCCGGGGACCGGGAGUAGCUGCGGGAAACGUGCAGGUAAUACCGGAUGACCUCCCGCGGUUGAAUUCCGCGGGUGCAAAUGGUGUGAUUCCUCCCUGGGAGCGGCUUACGUGAUACUAGCUAGUUGGUGAGGUAACGGCUCACCAAGGCGAAGAUGUCUAGGGGGUGUGAGAGCAUGGCCCCCACCACUGGGACUGAGACACUGCCCAGACACCUACGGGUGGCUGCAGUCGAGAAUCUUCGGCAAUGGGCGCAAGCCUGACCGAGCGACGCCGCGUGCGGGAUGAAGGCCCUUGGGUUGUAAACCGCUGUCAGAGGGGAUGAAGUGCGGGUGGUUCUCCCAUCCGUUUGACAGAGCCUCAAAGGAAGCACGGGCUAAGUACGGGCCAGCAGCCGCCGUAAC
RNAcentral lists this ribosomal RNA (520 nucleotides) under uncultured Planctomycetia bacterium. Its description in RNAcentral is "bacterial SSU rRNA". It matches the Rfam family "Bacterial small subunit ribosomal RNA", at positions 9 to 524 of the family's 1533-position model. Lineage: Bacteria; Pseudomonadati; Planctomycetota; Planctomycetia. The record is from RNAcentral.